AGAGUUUGAUCAUGGCUCAGGAUAAACGCUGGCGGCGCACAUAAGACAUGCAAGUCGAACGAACUUAACUCAUUCUUUUAGUUUGAGAGCGGUUAGUGGCGGACUGGUGAGUAACACGUAAGCAACCUGCCUAUUAGAGGGGAAUAACAGUGAGAAAUCAUUGCUAAUACCGCAUAUGCUAACAGUAUCGCAUGAUACAGUUAGGAAAGGAGUAAUCCGCUAAUAGAUGGGCUUGCGCCUGAUUAGCUAGUUGGUGGGGCAAUGGCCUACCAAGGCGACGAUCAGUAGCCGGACUGAGAGGUUGAACGGCCACAUUGGGACUGAGAUACGGCCCAGACUCCUACGGGAGGCAGCAGUCGGGAAUAUUGCGCAAUGGAGGAAACUCUGACGCAGUGACGCCGCGUAUAGGAAGAAGGUUUUCGGAUUGUAAACUAUUGUCGUUAGGGAAGAUACAAGACAGUACCUAAGGAGGAAGCCCCGGCUAACUACGUGCCAGCAGCCGCGGUAAUACAUAGGGGGCAAGCGUUAUCCGGAAUUAUUGGGUGUAAAGGGUGCGUAGACGGAGGAGCAAGUUGGUUGUGAAAUCCCUCGGCUUAACUGAGGAACUGCAACCAAAACUACUUCCCUUGAGUGUCGGAGAGGAAAGUGGAAUUCCUAGUGUAGCGGUGAAAUGCGUAGAUAUUAGGAGGAACACCAGUGGCGAAGGCGACUUUCUGGACGAUAACUGACGUUGAGGCACGAAAGUGUGGGGAGCAAACAGGAUUAGAUACCCUGGUAGUCCACACCGUAAACGAUGGAUA
RNAcentral lists this ribosomal RNA (800 nucleotides) under uncultured bacterium. RNAcentral describes it as "bacterial SSU rRNA". It matches the Rfam family "Bacterial small subunit ribosomal RNA", at positions 8 to 815 of the family's 1533-position model. The record is from RNAcentral.